AUCAUUGCAAAUGAUGGGCUUUAGAGGAUAUAAAAGGGGAUUAGGAGAGAGAGUGGCCGGCUCUUGCUUCAUUUCCGUCCAAGAGAGGUGUGCGAGAGAGAGGGUUUGAGAGAAAGAGAGAAACCGAGAGGGAAGGAGGCGGAGCCGAGAGGGAGGUGCCGCCGUUCGUCUGCCGUCCGACCGUCCUACGCCGCCGUGUGUUGCUGUGUGUUCUUCUUUAAGGCAAGUGGGGGUCCAUAACUUCUCUUGCAUGUUGUUUUUGUUGGUUGCAUGUUAGAUUUUAGGUGUGGUUUGGGCGAAGAACCGAGGUAAGGAUUGCAUGUGUUCAUGUAAUGUGGCUGUUUCCGUUCGGUUUGUGGUAGACGGUUUCCUAUUCGAGCUUGCAUGUGUAUUUGGAGUGUGAUUUUGGCUUCGGUGUCUUCAUGAAAGUUGAAGCUAACAUCUUGAGGUAUGACAUACUCGAAUUUCAUGGAAAAUGAAGGUGAUAUGAGGGGUCAAAAGUUCUAUUUCACGGAGGCUUUAGAUCUGCGAAUUUCCUACUGACCUCUUGAUGAUUUCUUGGUUGCAUGUUGAUUUCUGUUGGAGAUCUCACUUUGUUGUCUUCAUGAAUGUUGUAGAUAACAUCCUAAACUAUAACAUACUCAAAUUUGAGGAGAAACAAAUGAGUAUAUCCUAGUUAACCAGCUAGAUCUUUGAGACGGAUGGUUCUGUUGAAGUGAACCGAGACACCCGAGACUUCAAGGACCUAAAAGAGGAUCAUACUUUGGUUAUUUAACCUAGAUCUCUUCAUGAAACUUGUAAAGGACACAUUGACAUAUAACAUACUCGAAGUUCAGAAGAAACGAAAGAGAUUUGAUGGGUCAAACCUAAGUUUUUCGGUGAUGUACACUCUGGACGAAACGGUAGAGGUUCCAGAAGCUUCAUGGAGUUGUAUAAAUUAAUCUAUAAAGAAUUUGGCUUAGAGUUCUACAUGAAAAAUGCACGAAAAUGUGUUGGAUAUCACCCUGUAAAAUUUGGGAAUUUUCGGAGGUCAUAUGAGUAUUUUAAUUGAAUUAAUUCGAAAACUGUGCAAAUCUGGCCAUUUUCCGAAUAUUGUGAGUAUUUUGUGGAAAUUUGGGAAAUUAUGUAAAAUGCAAAUUAGCCAUGGAUUUUAUGUGAAAUUUGAUUUUAAUUGUUGGUUUGAUGAUUGAUUGAAGAUUAUGAUUUUUGGAAAAUCAUAAAUAUUAAAUAUAAUAUUUAUUUAUGAAAAUAUAAUAAUAAAAUAAUAAAAUAAUAAAAUAAUAAAAUAAUAAUAAAAUAAA
RNAcentral lists this long non-coding RNA (1301 nucleotides) under Eucalyptus grandis. RNAcentral's name for it is "long non-coding RNA (EGRA_LNC007911)". The record is from RNAcentral. Lineage: Eukaryota; Viridiplantae; Streptophyta; Magnoliopsida; Myrtales; Myrtaceae.